This 310-nucleotide ribosomal RNA is filed under the name Chiropturopoda sp. AL5866. Its description in RNAcentral is "eukaryotic LSU rRNA". It matches the Rfam family "Eukaryotic large subunit ribosomal RNA", at positions 656 to 949 of the family's 3401-position model. Lineage: Eukaryota; Metazoa; Arthropoda; Arachnida; Mesostigmata; Uroactiniidae. The record is from RNAcentral.
GAAACACGGACCAAGGAGUAUAACAUAUACGCGAGUCAUUGAGUAACCUGUAACUCAAAGGCGUAAUGAAAUGUGAUUAAUGUUUCGCGUGAUCCGUUAAGAUAUUUCUUAGCGGCGCAACGUGGACCCGUUUGAGUAUUUAUACCUAAACGGAGUUUGAGCGUAUAUGUUGUGACCCGAAAGAUGGUGAUUUAUGCCUGGGCAAGACGAAGCCAGAGGAAAUUCUGGUGGAGGUUUGAAGCGUUUCUGACGUGCAAAUCGAUCGUCUGACCUGGGUAUAGGGGCGAAAGACCAAUCGAACCAUCUAGUC